GAAAUCAAGGGUGGGUAAGACCUGGUGAGCAAACUCUAAGGCGACCCAUACUUGGUUUCAGGGGCUG
Taeniopygia guttata (zebra finch) is the source of this 67-nucleotide non-coding RNA. The record is from Rfam. NCBI's taxonomy places the organism in Eukaryota, Metazoa, Chordata, Aves, Passeriformes, Estrildidae.